RNAcentral lists this transfer RNA (69 nucleotides) under Microcosmus sulcatus. RNAcentral's name for it is "transfer RNA-Met". The record is from RNAcentral. Lineage: Eukaryota; Metazoa; Chordata; Ascidiacea; Stolidobranchia; Pyuridae.
AUGUCAGUAAACUAUGGUUAAGUUGUGGGUUUCAUAGAUCCAAAAAGUCAAUAAUGCUGAUUUGACAUA